Molecule: long non-coding RNA, 249 nt
Filed under: Lathyrus oleraceus (garden pea)
Lineage: Eukaryota; Viridiplantae; Streptophyta; Magnoliopsida; Fabales; Fabaceae
Description: Pisum sativum (pea) long non-coding RNA (PSAT_LNC029434)
Source: RNAcentral
UUUGAAGGUUAAUAUGAAUAACCCAUAAAAUAAAGGAAGAUGAGAAUUUGGUAAAGGUUAAAGGUUAAAAUAAAUAUUUUUUUAUUUUUAUUAAAUAAUAGUAGUAGGAUAAGAAAAAUAGGAUAGAAAAAAUAAUGUUCAUUUAUGAUAAGUUUAACUAAUUUGUUAAACCUGCUAGAAUAAUUAGGAAUUUGUUUUAGAAAAUAAUUCAUUACUAUUUUAGGUGUUAUGAGUUUAAGAUGAUUUUUU